UACGGAGGAUGCGAGCGUUAUCCGGAUUUAUUGGGUUUAAAGGGUGCGCAGGCGGCGAGUUAAGUCAGCGGUAAAAUUUCGGGGCUCAACCCCGACAAGCCGUUGAAACUGGCUUGCUAGAGUGGGCGAGAAGUAUGCGGAAUGCGUGGUGUAGCGGUGAAAUGCAUAGAUAUCACGCAGAACUCCGAUUGCGAAGGCAGCUUACUAAGCCAUAACUGACACUGAAGCACGAAAGCGUGGGGAUCAAACAGG
Molecule: ribosomal RNA, 252 nt
Filed under: uncultured Bacteroidales bacterium
Lineage: Bacteria; Pseudomonadati; Bacteroidota; Bacteroidia; Bacteroidales
Description: partial 16S ribosomal RNA
Rfam family: Bacterial small subunit ribosomal RNA
Source: RNAcentral